CGGUGCGGCGUGCUAUACAUGCAAGUCGAGCGAAGAGAUGGGAGCUUGCUCCCUGAUCUUAGCGGCGGACGGGUGAGUAACACGUGGGCAACCUGCCCUGCAGACUGGGAUAACUCCGGGAAACCGGAGCUAAUACCGGGUAAUACAUCGCACCGCAUGGUGCAAUGUUGAAAGUUGGCUUUCUGAGCUAACACUGCAGGAUGGGCCCGCGGCGCAUUAGCUAGUUGGUAAGGUAAUGGCUUACCAAGGCGACGAUGCGUAGCCGACCUGAGAGGGUGAUCGGCCACACUGGGACUGAGACACGGCCCAGACUCCUACGGGAGGCAGCAGUAGGGAAUCUUCCGCAAUGGACGAAAGUCUGACGGAGCAACGCCGCGUGAGUGACGAAGGCCUUCGGGUCGUAAAGCUCUGUUGUUAGGGAAGAACAAGUACCGUUCGAAUAGGGCGGUACCUUGACGGUACCUAACCAGAAAGCCACGGCUAACUACGUGCCAGCAGCCGCGGUAAUACGUAGGUGGCAAGCGUUGUCCGGAAUUAUUGGGCGUAAAGCGCGCGCAGGCGGUCUUUUAAGUCUGAUGUGAAAGCCCACGGCUCAACCGUGGAGGGUCAUUGGAAACUGGAGGACUUGAGUGCAGAAGAGGAGAGUGGAAUUCCACGUGUAGCGGUGAAAUGCGUAGAUAUGUGGAGGAACACCAGUGGCGAAGGCGGCUCUCUGGUCUGUAACUGACGCUGAGGCGCGAAAGCGUGGGGAGCAAACAGGAUUAGAUACCCUGGUAGUCCACGCCGUAAACGAUGAGUGCUAGGUGUUGGGGGGUUCCACCCUCAGUGCUGAAGUUAACACAUUAAGCACUCCGCCUGGGGAGUACGACCGCAAGGUUGAAACUCAAAGGAAUUGACGGGGGCCCGCACAAGCAGUGGAGCAUGUGGUUUAAUUCGAAGCAACGCGAAGAACCUUACCAGGUCUUGACAUCCUCUGACAUCCUGGAGACAGGACGUUCCCCUUUCGGGGGACAGAGUGACAGGUGGUGCAUGGUUGUCGUCAGCUCGUGUCGUGAGAUGUUGGGUUAAGUCCCGCAACGAGCGCAACCCUUGAUCUUAGUUGCCAGCAUUUAGUUGGCACUCUAAGGUGACUGCCGUG
RNAcentral lists this ribosomal RNA (1138 nucleotides) under Bacillus sp. D-S1-14. RNAcentral's name for it is "bacterial SSU rRNA". It matches the Rfam family "Bacterial small subunit ribosomal RNA", at positions 34 to 1156 of the family's 1533-position model. Lineage: Bacteria; Bacillati; Bacillota; Bacilli; Caryophanales; Bacillaceae. The record is from RNAcentral.